RNAcentral lists this long non-coding RNA (2346 nucleotides) under Mus musculus (house mouse). RNAcentral describes it as "long non-coding RNA chrX:107293826-107296172". The record is from RNAcentral. Lineage: Eukaryota; Metazoa; Chordata; Mammalia; Rodentia; Muridae.
AAAUUUUGAUAAUACUGCGCACAUAUUCUCUCAGCUAGAGUCAUCAGCUUUAUCUGUGAACCUAAGUCACAAAAUCAAUUACUAACUCAAGCCCAUUUUAAGCACUGAGUUUUCUUACCACAGUUGCUGAAUCUAUGUUCAAAAGGUGUGCAAUUGUCCAUUUGUAGUAGUGAUCACAGUUUGCAUUCCAACAACAUAUUUGGUUGUUUUUAAAGUGGGGUGGGCAAAACUUUAUGUGUACAUAGUGUUACAAAAACAGGGUAAUUGUUAUUUCCCAAGUGUGAUUCCAUUCAAGGAUUUGAAACUCCAAUGCUUUAUUUCUUCAGUUAGUUUUAAUAUGAAACAUCAUCUGUCACAUUACUUGUUGAAUGAAUUUCUGAAACCAGGCUCUGGUACACUUAAACUAAGAACAACAAACAUUCAUGACACAUAGUAAUCCUCUGUAAUUGUAUAAAAUGAUACAUUGAAUAGUCCCAGGGCAGGUAGUUUUCUACAGUUAAGGCAACAUGAGUCAGAUGGCCUUUAUGCUUUAGAGAAAGGAAAGAGGUGACAACCACAAUUCUGGCUCUCUGAAACUAGGUCCAAAGAAUACCUUCAGGUAUAUAUGUAUGAACAUGCCUAGGAGAGGGAUAGCUUUUCAUCAUAAUUUAGAAUUACAUUGAAGCAAUCUGAUAGGUUAUUACUGCAUUUACUGAGCCUAUGGAAGAAACAGUGCACCAAUUAGUCGCUAAGCUUGGGCAGAGUGAAAAUAUGAACCAAAGUGAAGUAUAAGUCUUAAAAAUCACUAUUAUCCUUUAAGUAUUCUCCAAGGUAAGUGGUGCCUAUUAAGACAUCUACACAAGCCAGAGUGUGACAUAAAGACACUGGUCAUGUGGACUUUUAAAUCUGCACUUUUCCAGUUAAGUUAUAUGAUUAUAAAGCCUACAAAGAUUACCUCUCAGAAACUGUUGGAAGCAAUUCUUUCACCUUUUGAGAAAAGUGUGGAUCAUUCCAGCAGCCAUAUACAUCCUUACAAAAGCUAUGUCUACUAUCUGUUUAGUACUAUUGAGCAGGAAAAACUCGGGUAUGUGGUUGUAAGCACUGGAAUAUUCUGAAGCAUGAUAUACAUUGUAAAUAAGAUUACUUUCAGAAAUCGUUGAAUAAGAGAAUGGGGAGAAAACACUCUCCUUUACAUUGAGAAAAUAAAGAAAUCAAGCAAGACAUGCAGUUUUAGGGAUAUAGUUAAUGAUACUAUAUGUUUUAGGAAAAACUCAUUAAAUGGACAUGAAUUUUAGCUUCUAAUACUAGUGGGAAACCUCUAAAGUUUUGUUUGAGUAAGUAACAAAAAUGUAGUGCUUAUGUUUGAACAGUUUAUGAAAAUAAUAAUGUAUUAGAAAAAAUGAGUUUGUGCUGCUAGCAACAGUAUAUUUAUAUAUAUCCUAAUCAUUCCUUGUGAUGUACAUAUGUUUUGAUGUAUUAAAUAAGUGUUAAAUUUUGUUUUCAAAAAAGAAACUAUAAAUGUGUGUGGUCUAUUUGUUUUAAAGUGAUUUCUGUUUGAUUGUAAGUUUGUAUCAUAAUGAGAUUACAAGUAAUCAUUUGUGAAACUAUGAAACAACUGUGGGUGCUUGAAAUAGUGCUCACACUUAAAAUAUCUAUGCCUACUAUUUUUUUGUAGCAUGUGUUACACUUUUUAAAGUCACUUUGGGAGAUCACUGUUGGAACGUUUUUCUAACUUUGAUUUCGUUAUACUCAUACCAUUUUUCAAGGGAGAAGAAAUACUUCUAGGACAUUAUUGACCACUGUAGAGUAGUUGAGAUUACAGCUCAUUUGUUAGAUAUUACUUCUCCAUCAUUUAGUGAUAAGUCAAAUGUCUAAUGAUUUUAUGCUAUUUAUCUACCCAGAUCUGUCUAUCUGGGUUUAUAUUCAGCAUCUGAAUACUGAAUCAGAGCAAUUUUUCUGAUUCUUCAACUUCCUCAUCAGUACAUUUCAAUUUUGCUCCAUCCCCUUCUCCUUCUGAUCAACUUAUUCAUAAUAAGGUGCUAAUUAUAAUGUUAACUUCAUAUUAAUUUACCAAGAAAUAUCUGAAGUUCAUACCUUACAAAUAGGCAUUAACACGAAGUACAGAAAUCCAAAUGGAGCAAUUUCAGACACAGGGAGAUGUGGUAGAGGGGAAGACACUAUAAAGAAAUUGAGUCUUAAAGCAAUCCUUUCAAAUAAUGCAUUACAAAUGGCCAUCUACUCUGGUUGCCAUUGUGAGGAUGCUAAAUUCCAAGAAAUAGCUCUAUAAACAUGGGUGUACAUUUUCCAGAUUGUUGCUUGAGAUUUUUCUUCUACCCUAUCUCUCUUCUAACACUGGACCUAGUUUUC